RNAcentral lists this ribosomal RNA (253 nucleotides) under uncultured bacterium. Its description in RNAcentral is "partial 16S ribosomal RNA". It matches the Rfam family "Bacterial small subunit ribosomal RNA", at positions 524 to 776 of the family's 1533-position model. The record is from RNAcentral.
UACGUAGGGUGCGAGCGUUGUCCGGAAUUAUUGGGCGUAAAGAGCUUGUAGGCGGUUUGUCGCGUCUGCUGUGAAAUCUCAAGGCUCAACCUUGAGCUUGCAGUGGGUACGGGCAGACUAGAGUGUGGUAGGGGAGACUGGAAUUCCUGGCGUAGCGGUGAAAUGCGCAGAUAUCAGGAGGAACACCUAUUGCGAAGGCAGCUCGCUGGGACGUAACUGACGCUGAGACGCGAAAGCGUGGGGAGCAAACAGG